GUGAGAGUCCCGUCUUGAACCGAUUACUUCGUCCAUGUGAAACUCCUUCGACGAGUCGAGUUGUUUGGGAAUGCAGCUCAAAAUGGGUGGUAAAUUUCAUCUAAAGCUAAAUAUUGGCCAGAGACCGAUAGCGCACAAGUAGAGUGAUCGAAAGAUGAAAAGCACUUUGAAAAGAGAGUUAAACAGUAUGUGAAAUUGUUGAAAGGGAAGCGCUUGUAAUCAGACUUGAGCUUAACAGUUCCCCCUUCGUUCUCGUUGGGUUAUUCUGUUUUGUCCAGGCCAACAUCAGUUCGGGUGGUUGGUUAAAGACUUUAGGAAUGUAUCUACCCCUCGGGGUCGACUUAUAGCCUAGAGUGUCAUGCAGCCUACCUGGACUGAGGAACGCGCUUCGGCUCGGAUGUUGGCGUAAUGGUUAUAAGCGACCCGUCUUGAAACACGGACCAAGGAGUCUAACAUCUAUGCAAGUCUUUGAGUGGAAAACUCGCAGGCGUAAUGAAAGUGAACGGAGGUAAGAAGCCUUUAGGCUGCAUUAUCGACCGAUCUUGAUGUCUUCGGAUGGAUUUGAGUAAGAGCAUAGCUGUUGGGACCCGAAAGAUGGUGAACUAUGCCUGAAUAGGGUGAAGCCAGAGGAAACUCUGGUGGAGGCUCGCAGCGGUUCUGACGUGCAAAUCGAUCGUCAAAUUUGGGUAUAGGGGCGAAAGACUAAUCGAACCAUCUGGUAGCUGGUUCAUGCCGAAGUUUCCCUCAGGAUAGCAGUAACGUUUUCAGUUUUAUGAGGUAAAGCGAAUGAUUAGAGGCCUUGGGAGUGAAACACUCUUAACCUAUUCUCAAACUUUAAAUAUGUAAGAAGUCCUUGUUACUUAAUUGAACGUGGACAUUUGAAUGUAUCGUUACUAGUGGGCCAUUUUUGGUAAGCAGAACUGGCGAUGCGGGAUGAACCGAACGUGAGGUUAAGGUGCCGGAAUACACGCUCAUCAGACACCACAAAAGGUGUCAAUGCAUCUAGACAGCCGGACGGUGGCCAUGGAAGUCGGAAUCCGCUUAGGAGUGUGUAACAACUCACCGGCCGAAUGCAUUGGCCCUGAAAAUGGAUGGCGCUUAAGCGUGUUACCUAUACCUCGCCAUUAGAGUUGAAAUUAUGCUCUAAUGAGUAGGCAUGCGUGGGGGUUUGUGACGAAGC
Molecule: ribosomal RNA, 1180 nt
Filed under: Epibryon minutissimum
Lineage: Eukaryota; Fungi; Ascomycota; Eurotiomycetes; Chaetothyriales; Epibryaceae
Description: Cladophialophora minutissima eukaryotic LSU rRNA
Rfam family: Eukaryotic large subunit ribosomal RNA
Source: RNAcentral